Molecule: RNA transcript, 4527 nt
Organism: Gallus gallus (chicken)
Lineage: Eukaryota; Metazoa; Chordata; Aves; Galliformes; Phasianidae
Exons: 3
Source: RefSeq, a predicted model, not a curated record
GCGCUGCCCGGAGCCGCCGCGCCGAUGCCACGUGGGAGGCGGCGGAGCCGCCGUCGGCGCCGGGCCGGAACCGCGGCCCCCCUGACGUUGGGGACGGCGCUCGCCGGGCGUCGGGAGGAGGGGAGGUCUCGGAGCCCCCGGGACCGCAGCGCGGUGGCCGAGACCCGAUGGGUGCUCGGCGCCGUAGCGCCCGGCUCGCGGCUCGGCCUCCCGGGCCUAGAGGCGCUGGCGGCGGCGGCCGGGCCUAGGGGCGGCUCCCCGCCCUGGGCGGCGCCCGCGCUGCUCCAGGUGCCGGCGGCGGCCCAGCCGGCCCCGCGGCGGGACGGCAGCGACCUGCCCGCCUGCGCGCCCGCCGCCCUGGCCGUGCUGCGCCUGCAGCCGGGCGCCGAGGGAGCGGCGCGGGCGGCGGCGGCGGCGGCCGGGGCCGCGCCGCGCCUGCGGACCGUCUACGUGAACCCGCGCUGGCUGGAGCGGCAGGCCGCGCUGGGGGCGGCGGCGGCGGCGGCCAGCCCCUGCGCCGAGGCGGCGGCGGCGGCGGCUGCGGCGGUGGCGAACAGCGCGGCCGGGGACCCGGCAUCGGCGUCGGCCGCGGCGGCGGGGCAGGGCGAGGCGGCAGCGGCGGCGGCGGCGCCCGCGCCCGCGCCCCCCACGGCGGAAGCGGCGGCCACCCCCUACGUGGGGCUGCGGCGGCCCCUGGGCUACCAGCUGGCCAAGGCCACCAAGGAGCGCAUCUGGCGGGGGGAGUUCAUUGACCUCUUUUCCUUGCUCCACACAGAGCUGACCCCCGAGCACGGCCCGCACCCGGGGGACACGCUGGACCAGUGGGUGUCGGCCUUUCUGGUGUACGCCAGCGUGGUGUGCGAGAAGCACCCGGCGCGCUGCGGGGCCAUGUUCAAGUACCUGGACACCAUCCGUAAGCUGCACGCCACCUACGGGGGCACCUCGUGGAUGAACUACGACGAGGACUUCCGGCGGCGGGCGGCCAAGGACCCCAACCUGCCGUGGGGCGACGUCGACCUGGACCUGUGGAUGAAGUGGAUGGCCCCUCUCAAGUCGCUCCUCAGCAGGCACAAUCGUAUCGAGAGCGAGCCGAAGGCCGCGCCGCCGGCACAGCCACCGCCUUCAUCGUCGUCGUCAUCCCAGAGCCCCAAGAAGGAGGAGAAGAGCCAGGAGUUGGAAAUGCCAGUCGUUCUCUCCCUUGGGAUGUAACGCGUUUUCCUUAGGACAUCAGAAGAAAGGUUCCUUUUCUUUUUUUUUUCGAAUUGUCUUAAAACAAAUAGCUUUCUCAGCAAUAAAAUUGUAUCUAAGAUCCUGAGACAAAGAGUAGAGGCCUGUUACUGUGGGAGCAUGUGGUAGCUGCAAGCUGCGUCGGAGGCCGUAAACAUGGGUGUCAGUGAAGAGGAACUUCAGUUUGAAUGGCUGCAGCUUGCAAAUUUACCAUGAUUUGGAGAUGUAAUUUAGUUUCAGCCUCCGUAGGUUUAGUCCACAAGUUCUGGCCUGUUUUGUGGAAUGCGUGUGAUUAGGGGAAGCAGGGAGGGAUUUUGUUUUUGUCAAGGAUUUGCUUUUAUUGCAAGCAUCGAGUGUCACUGAAUUGGCAUAACCACAAACAUACAUGGGCAAAUUUGCUGUUUCCACUACUUGAGUGGUGACAGCAAGCACCAGUAGUACAAGAGUGCUGCCUGUCUAUAUUUGGGGCUGUACUGCAGCUUUUGAUUUUUUUAGGAUACUGGUGGCUGGAAUCUGUCAGAUGCAUGGUGUGACAUACACUGGGCACCAAAUGUUUAGAGUUUCAUGCCAGCUGACUGAUGGUUGAAGGAUUCUGUUAGAUUAUUCAUAUUUAUUUCUCAACUAUUUUUUUUAGGCCCGUAGGAAGAAUCUUUGCCAUCCCAAAGGGUUUUGCUCAACAGAUACCGUAGGAUACUCACUCAGCAGUGGCUGAAUUAGUCUGAUCUGGAAAGGGACAGUGUUUUUCAGGAUAUCUGCAAGUGUUCAAUGCAUUGCACCAACUGCUGACUUCUCUAGCAACAUCUUGGGCCAACCUGCAUGGAAAGGAAUGGAAACUAAUACCUUUUAAUGAAUGCCGUAAUAGAUCCCAAUGCCAGCUGUAUGGCCUUGGUGCUGUCUGUGUUUGGUAUUCCAGAUUACCUAACUCGUUCUGAUAUCUUUGUUUAGAUUUCUCCAUUCUUGGCAACAGCAGCUCGGUUUUUGUUUUACUACUGAUGUUAUGUGAGCACCAGAUGGAAAACACCUCUUAUCUUUCAUCUUGUCCUGCACGGGAUCUUCAGUUUGUAACGUUAACUAGACUGUAACUCUCACAAUAGCUGUUCUGUGAGUGCAGAGCUCCAGGCUGCUGCUGCUAGGCACCCCAUGUCUCCAUCUCUGAUUUUGUGCAAAUUUUCCAAUGAAUUUGAGCAUUGGCAUUGACUUUACUUGCGUCUAAAGAAGAUACUGUAAGCUGUGUGAAUUGAAAUAAAGCUUAUUUAUUUUAGUUAGCUAGUAUGCUAAAUACCAACUUUUAGCUUAAUGAUUGGCUUGAAUGUAAAAGCUACAUUGCUAUAGUAGCAUAAUGGAAAGUAAAAGUGAAGGCUGUGUAGCUGCUGUUCAUUGUGGGUUCAACUACUUCUCUAUUAUUGGAGCAGAUAUUAAUUGGUAGCACAGGGUAUUUUAUAACUGUUUUUUAAAGAAAAAGUCCUUAACUGAAACGAUUGCCUGAGCAGCUGUUAAAUGUAGACCAGGCCUGGGAUAAAGCUUGAGCUUGUUACUGGCACGGCAGCAGCAGGGAAACACCAGGUGACCUAUGGGUUUCCCCCUCGCCCACACGCAGCUCCUUGCGAGCUCCAUGUUGUGUAACUGCUUGAAAGGAAUAAAAGGCUGUGACUUGACAUUGGGGCAAGACAGUUCUCUCAUUUAAAUGGGAGAGAAUAGGCUUUUAUAGAGAGCAGGCUUUGACCAGAAUCUGAGUACCUUCGUACUGUCACAAGAGGAAGGGAAACUGUUUUACAGAGGCCUUUUCUUCAAGAUUGCUUGAAUUGAUUUUGUUUUCAUGGCUUCAAAGGUCAGCAUUAGGCAGCCAAAUUCUAUUUCAUCUUCCCAUUCAGAGGGUGCUCCUUACGUUUCAGCUUGUUGCGGUGUCUGUAUCUCUCUAGUUUUGCAGUUCCACAGAAGGUCAACCAGUAGAAAGUCAACAAAAAUGAAAGGAUGUGUUUGAGGCCAGUUGCAACUUCUUGAGAGCAAGUAGAGAGCUGUAACUUUGCUUUGCGUUUGGUAAAGUGAGAAACCCUCGUUUUUGUUUAAGAGCAGUGAUUGGCACGUGUGUUAUAGGAUAGCUGAGGUUCAUUCCUACGAAUUUAUGCCUGGAUUAUCUUUGGACAAUUCUUAGUUUCUUUCUUUUUAUUUCAGACUCCGUGAAAGCAGAAGGCCAGUUGGAAUGGCAGGCAGGAUAAGCGGCCUGACUCCGUUGGUGUUUAAGUGGAGCUCUGGUAUUCUAGUGCAUUCUUUUACCUCUGCUUCUGUUGCGUUGCAAGCUGUGCUAGAGAAGACGUAGGAAAUUCAUUUUACCCAAUCAGCAAUUGUAACAAUGGACUACAAACCUGCAGAGCAAGCCGGUUUGCUGGAAAACAGGAAUUCCUGCAGCGCAGCACUUGUCACAGACUAUCCAAAGAGGGCAAAGAUUCAGGAGAGUGAAUAAAUUGAACAUUGAUUGAAUGAGGUCAGGAACGGUCUCCCGGAGGAGAGCCCUGCCCUAAAAUACUACUUUGAGAGUAUAAGCCAAUUUAAUGCGCAGAUUAACCCUUCUCAUUUGAGCAAACUUGUGUGCAAUCCUGGAUCUUUGCAGAUCACGACUGGACACUUCAAAAAAAAAACAAAAUCUGUGUACUAUAUUUGCUUAAAAAAUAAAUCCUACCUUGUCUUGUUACACCUGUUAAUUUUAGCAUUUCAUUGACAAUAUCUGCAACAGAAAUGUAUAUUUGACUUGACGCAGUAUCCUACAUUUGGUAUAACUCAGGUUGUUGACAAAAUUAUUCUGUGAGGCUCAGUACCACCUCUUCGUUCUGCUCUGAACAAAGUUCUUUAACCAUUGCUGUCAUUUCCAGAAGUAAUUUAUAGCCCAUGUAUGCAUUGCAAAAUUCUUGAACGGAUUUAAUAGCUGACCUAAAUUAUUGUUCUUGUUUUAUCCUCAUAGAAUAGUUAGCAUCUUGAACGUCAGACCAGACUUUUGUGGUCUGACGUUCAUGAAAAUCAUUCAUUGGUUCAUGGUUUAAUUGUUUUACAUCUCCGUAUUUUGUUUUCUUUUCCUCUCCCCUCGCAUACUAGGGAGUAUGAUCAAGGUAAUACUAUGAUCCAGUAACGCGCUUGAUGGUAAGGGUUUGCCUUUAGUUGUUUCAGGAAAAAAAAACCAACUGCCGUUAUCUGCUCUCCUUUAACUUUCUUGAUAGUUUCAAUAAUAUGCUUAACAUGAAGUGUUUGUAAAUCGAUUAAAAAAAAAAUGUUUGUGACUUCACCUAAAUAAAUUUUUAUAUAUAUGAA